RNAcentral lists this ribosomal RNA (499 nucleotides) under uncultured Glomeromycotina. Its description in RNAcentral is "partial small subunit ribosomal RNA". It matches the Rfam family "Eukaryotic small subunit ribosomal RNA", at positions 591 to 1092 of the family's 1831-position model. Lineage: Eukaryota; Fungi; Glomeromycota. The record is from RNAcentral.
CCAAUAGCGUAUAUUAAAGUUGUUGCAGUUAAAAAGCUCGUAGUUGAAUUUUGGAUUCUUCCAAUUGGUCCAUCUUUUAGAUGAGUACUGGUUGUGUGGGGUCUAUCCGCCUGGUGAUACGUAAUGUCCUUUAUUGGAUGUUGCGGGUAGUCAGGACCUUUACCUUGAAAAAAUUAGAGUGUUUAAAGCAGGCUUAUGCCGGAAUACAUUAGCAUGGAAUAAUAGAAUAGGACGAAGUUGUUUUAUUUUGUUGGUUUCUAGGACAACCGUAAUGAUUAAUAGUGAUAGUUGGGUGCAUUAGUAUUCAAUUGUCAGAGGUUAAAUUCUUGGAUUUAUUGAAGACUAACUACUGCGAAAGAAUUUGCCAUGGAUGUUUUCAUUAAUCAAGAACGAAAGUUAGGGGUUCGAAGACGAUCAGAUACCGUCGUAGUCUUAUCCAUAAACUAUGCCGACUAGGGAUCGGGCGAUGUUGUUUCCAUGACUCGCUCGGCGCCUUAUG